AGAGGAAAAUAAUUUGUUGGAAUGUGAGAAUGAGUCUAUAUGCAAUUUAAAAUGUCUCUGCUGCAUGUUUGCAAAUAGGACCUUCUUUUAAUUGUUUGUAGGUCAUCUUUCCUUUAACUCAAAUGAAGACCGUCAUGGUGGCCGAAGAAGAAAAUGGACACCAGAGCUCAUUUGGAGAGGAUGAAGAACCUGAAGGUUUGGAAGUGAUACAACGCCUCAGUGAGACAUCUGAAAUGUGUUCCAGAUUCAGGAGCCGGAGUCAGCCGCUGAGCUGACACUGAAAAUAUGAACACAGGGGUGUCCUCGCCUCUUGCCCGAUGACUGCUUGAGUUACACAUCAGCUCACCAAGACCCUGCUGAAGAAAAGAGGUCAAGGACCUGAGUGAGUAACACUAUCUGACAAUAAAUUACACAAAUAGUCUCAGCUAUUUUGGAUUAUUGUAGCCAGAAGUUUGUACGUUGUUUAUAAACCUCACUUUUAUGUCAGGUCCCAUUUCCAUUUAGAAAGAAAGAAAGAAAACGAUCUUUUAUAUAGCGCCUCUCAGGAUAAAAAUCAUGAGGCGCUUCACAAAAACAGAAAAAUGAAGGUAUAAAUCACUGACAUAGAACAGAACACAAAGUAGGAACAAAAUGCAUAAGUUGAAGCCAUGAGGAGCUUGUGUGGUCCCCAUCUUUAAGAAGGGUGACCUGAGGGUGUGUUCCAACUAUAGGGGGAUCACACUCCUCAGCCUCCCUGGGAAGGUCUACUCCAAGGUACUGGAGAGGAGGGUCAGAUCGAUAGUUGAAUCUCAGAUCGAGGAGCAAUGUGAUUUUCGUCCUGACCGUGGAACUGUGGACCAGCUCUAUACCCUUGCAAGGGUGAUGGAGGGGGCAUGGGAGUUUGCCCAACCAAUCCACGUGUUUUGUGGAUUUGGAGAAGGCUUAUGACCGUGUCCCCAGGGGCACCCUGUGGGGGACGCUCCAGGACUAUGGGGUGGGUGGCUUUCUGUUUAGGGCCAUUCAGUCCCUUUACCAGAGGAACGUGAAUUUGG
Non-coding RNA from Nothobranchius furzeri (turquoise killifish), 1031 nucleotides. NCBI's taxonomy places the organism in Eukaryota, Metazoa, Chordata, Actinopteri, Cyprinodontiformes, Nothobranchiidae. The record is from RefSeq and is a predicted model, not a curated record.